CACACUAAAAGAACUGAACCUGAGUAUCAGAAAAAUGCCCUGGCUGAUUUUCAUGCAAUGACAGCAGCAACAGAAUCUAUAAAGAUUGUAGCACACAUAGAUGAAGUCCAUUCUGCUUCUGCAAAAAUGACCCCUCAUUGCCAAACUUUUCCCAUCCUAAUGACCUUAUAAUAUACAAACAGUUUGCUCCUGAAUCAGAGAAAUUAAGUUGGGUAAACAAUGGCUGCAAAUUAAACAAACAGUGGGGGCUAUGAGAAAUCCAGUAUGGCCACUUGGCUCUUCCUGGAUCGCUGGCAAAUCCCAUUUUUCAGUUUUUGCCUUCCUUACACACCCUAGAAAAAAACUAUUUUUGUCCCUUGAGGCCUCAGAACUCCUCCGUCUGGGUCCCUUGAGCACCUGCAGCUGGACUUCAUUCUAUUCCCACUUAGUACAGGUCAUCAAUAUGUUCUUGUUAUUGUACGUAUGUUUUCUGGAUGGGCUGAAACCUUCUCUUGCUGCAAAACUUAUGCCCUCAAAACGACAAUAAACUGUUAGAAAAUUUUUUUCUCAUUUGGGGUACACCUUCCACAAUCUCCAGUGAUGAAGGCACCCAUUUCACUGGCCAAAUCAUACAAGCCUUAACAAAAAACUUGCAAACUUCUUGGGAUUAUCACUGUCCCUAUCACCCUCAAUCAUCAGAGAAGGUCAAGAGGACUAAUGAAAAAACUGAAUUCAAGCAGAACAAGAAUUAGUUACGUGGGAGUAAAUUAACUGGACACAAUUGGAAACAUUGGUUACAUUACCAAGGCUUUGACUGGAAUUUCAUAUUUGAGAGAGACAUGCAUAAACUUAGAUAUGACCGAACAGCUUUAAAGAACUAAGAUUGAUUCUAUGGAGCCGAUAAAACCCUUUGGAAAAGCAGCCUGGUGCCUUACUCACAGGGUUCCAAAUAACCUAACCAGAAUCAUUGAGAACUCAAGCUUCCCUUUUCCCUGAAGCCGUGCAAACUGAAGCUGAACAGUUUGAUAUAAACUUAAGAGAGAACCACAGUGGCCAGUGUUUAAACAAUCUUUAUGCCUGUUGCUGUGUAGACCACUCAGGUUUACCUGACACUAAUGACAUCAUCAGAGACAUUUAAAACUGAAAAAUAUACUUUUACCCUGACUUCUAGAAAAAUCCUUGACUGGCUGCCCCCUAGGCUCAGAAACUGGUUUGUAAUUUUCUCCAAACAUUAACCUUUGUUUUUCUUUGUUUCCAUAGAAAUGCCUUCUAUUAAAUAACUAAUUGCUUGCGCCAUAAAACUAACUUUGGAAGCCCAUCUGCAUCACCACCUCCUGAAAUGAGAUACGACUAUUUAACUAAACUGGCCAAGUCAAUGAAAUAAUAGAACAAGCUACUAGCUCAACUUUUACUAUGUGAAACGUUCAGGGAAGUUUCAGAGGAGGGAACUAUUGUGGCCCAGGGCAGGCCAGCUCAAAAUAUCCCACAAUAGUAUUUUGAUUAUUUUGAAUUAAGCUUACUUGAGAAGCAGCCAAUCACAAAGGGCAUUUCCCCCUUCUCUCUCUGUUCCCCCUGAAAGCAGGAAAUAAGUCUCCCAUGUGAAAGGUACCCUCUCCACACCAGGAGACAGAGACAUCCUUAUCACCAGGGCUAGGGAAGUCAGGUCAAGA
Long non-coding RNA from Equus caballus (horse), 1649 nucleotides. NCBI's taxonomy places the organism in Eukaryota, Metazoa, Chordata, Mammalia, Perissodactyla, Equidae. The record is from Ensembl.